Molecule: ribosomal RNA, 220 nt
Filed under: Alexandrium margalefii
Lineage: Eukaryota; Dinophyceae; Gonyaulacales; Pyrocystaceae
Description: partial Bacterial small subunit ribosomal RNA
Rfam family: Bacterial small subunit ribosomal RNA
Source: RNAcentral
GCAGCGAAGGGGCGACCUGGAGCAAAUCCCCAAAAACCGUCUCAGUUCGGAUUGUACUCUCAACUCGAGUGCAUGAAGUCGGAAUCGCUAGUAAUCGCGUAUCAGCAAUGACGCGGUGAAUACGUUCCCGGACCUUGUACACACCGCCCGUCAAGCCAUGGGAAUUGGGAGGACCUGAAGACGGUUGCCGCAAGGCGCUGUUUAGGGUUAAACCAGUGAC